UUUCGGGUUCGGUUAUUUUAAGUCAGGUUUGGAUAUUUAGACGUACUUUGAAUUUCUUAUUUCAAAAUUUGCAUGGUUCGAAGCUCUUGUACCUACAAAUUUAUCAAUAAUUAAUUGAUUUUCAAAAUUUUAAUAGGUUAGAGGAUUAUAUUAAUAGUUGACAAGCAACAUGCAGAGCUCAAAGACUCUUAAGGUGCUUUUAUGCUUUGAAGAUCAGUAUGAUCUCCUCUCUUUGUCGACUUGCGUCUAUCGCCUUAGUUUAGGUUCCAACUUCCGAUUGUUUAUGUGUAGGUGUUGUUAGGGCUUUGGUUUCUGGAAAACGUGGUUUCAUCAGCAAUGUCACUGGAGUCAUCUCUUUGUGCUGCCGGAUGUGUAUUUCAAACAUGUGAUUCACCUUUGUAUAUAUCCAUUGUUCAAUAAAUUUCAGUGUGAAAAAAGAUUAAUAGGUUUGAAAACAAAACUUUGAAUACACUUUGGUUGUGGUUUUAAGAAUUUGGACACAGAUUUUGUUUGAUAAUAAUGCAUGAAACAAUUUGGCAUGCAUAUUUAAGUAAGUAGCACAAAUUCAUAUUGUCCCCGAUUACUACCAUCUAUAUAGUGUAUUAUCUGACUUUAGGCCAUGUGCAGCAACAAUCUAAAACAUUUUCCACUUAUACAACACCAUUACAUUCAAGAAACAGAACAAACCUGAAAACCAAAUAAUCAUAAAUACAAAAUAAUUUGUCUUUUCAACAAUAACCAAGUCCAUCUUUCUUGCAGUUGUAAUCCAAAGACACAACAUUAGCGAAAGAAGAAGAGAACCACAAAUCUCUAAGGCAAAAUAUCUUUAUG
Molecule: long non-coding RNA, 831 nt
Filed under: Brassica napus (rape)
Lineage: Eukaryota; Viridiplantae; Streptophyta; Magnoliopsida; Brassicales; Brassicaceae
Description: long non-coding RNA (BNAP_LNC009990)
Source: RNAcentral